Long non-coding RNA from Zingiber officinale, 245 nucleotides. RefSeq lists it as uncharacterized. The transcript is spliced from 3 exons. The record is from RefSeq and is a predicted model, not a curated record. NCBI's taxonomy places the organism in Eukaryota, Viridiplantae, Streptophyta, Magnoliopsida, Zingiberales, Zingiberaceae.
UGAAAUGUUUUUGUUUUUCAUGAAGGUAAAAAGGUCGGUAAAGAUAAAGCAAAAUCAGAGAUUCAACAACCAAGCAAAGAGGAACUGAGAAAGAAAAUAUGCGAAAUUUUGAAAGAAGUUGACUUCAACACAGCAACUUUUACUGACAUUCUGAAGCGGCUAGCUGGUCAUUACAAAACUGAUCUGACUCCGCGAAAGGCAUCGAUAAAGCUCAUGAUCCAGGAGGAGCUGACCAAAUCAUGAUC